Molecule: transfer RNA, 74 nt
Filed under: Humitalea rosea
Lineage: Bacteria; Pseudomonadati; Pseudomonadota; Alphaproteobacteria; Acetobacterales; Roseomonadaceae
Description: Acetobacteraceae bacterium W37 tRNA
Rfam family: tRNA
About the family: Transfer RNA (tRNA) molecules are approximately 80 nucleotides in length. Their secondary structure includes four short double-helical elements and three loops (D, anti-codon, and T loops). Further hydrogen bonds mediate the characteristic L-shaped molecular structure. tRNAs have two regions of fundamental functional importance: the anti-codon, which is responsible for specific mRNA codon recognition, and the 3' end, to which the tRNAs corresponding amino acid is attached (by aminoacyl-tRNA synthetases). tRNAs cope with the degeneracy of the genetic code in two manners: having more than one tRNA (with a specific anti-codon) for a particular amino acid; and 'wobble' base-pairing, i.e. permitting non-standard base-pairing at the 3rd anti-codon position.
Source: Rfam by way of RNAcentral
CGGAGUGUGGCGCAGCCUGGUAGCGCACUUGUCUGGGGGACAAGGGGUCGUGGGUUCGAAUCCCGCCACUCCGA